AUAGUGCCACUUGCACCUCCUACUAUGGCGCCUCUAUCAAAUUUAGCUUCCUAGCCACCACCAUAAUUAGAGCAACCAUGGAUGCUUCCUUAGAACCCAGAGAGGAGACAAAUCCACCAAAGCCACCUUAAGAUCCAAGAACCAGCAAAGCGGCGAUCUUCCAGUGCAUGAUCAGGGCAUGAUUCGACCCCUGGUCACCGCUCUCCUCAGCACUCUGAGGCCUACACCAUUUGGGAUCUGACCAUAGAAAGGCAGUUCCAGGCUCUCGAUGAAAAGAUUGAUAAUGCUCUCAAUGAUAAUUCCUCGGCAC
This 310-nucleotide long non-coding RNA is filed under the name Elaeis guineensis (African oil palm). RNAcentral describes it as "long non-coding RNA (EGUI_LNC009037)". The record is from RNAcentral. Lineage: Eukaryota; Viridiplantae; Streptophyta; Magnoliopsida; Arecales; Arecaceae.